Molecule: ribosomal RNA, 913 nt
Filed under: Eleutheromyces subulatus
Lineage: Eukaryota; Fungi; Ascomycota; Leotiomycetes; Phacidiales; Helicogoniaceae
Description: eukaryotic LSU rRNA
Rfam family: Eukaryotic large subunit ribosomal RNA
Source: RNAcentral
AGCAUAUCAAUAAGCGGAGGAAAAGAAACCAACAGGGAUUACCUCAGUAACGGCGAGUGAAGCGGUAACAGCUCAAAUUUGAAAUCUGGCCCUUUCAGGGUCCGAGUUGUAAUUUGUAGAGGAUGUUUCGGGUGUGGCUCCGGUCUAAGUUCCUUGGAACAGGACGUCAUAGAGGGUGAGAAUCCCGUAUGUGACUGGUUGCCUAUGCUCAUGUGAAACUCCUUCGACGAGUCGAGUUGUUUGGGAAUGCAGCUCAAAAUGGGUGGUAAAUUUCAUCUAAAGCUAAAUAUUGGCCAGAGACCGAUAGCGCACAAGUAGAGUGAUCGAAAGAUGAAAAGCACUUUGGAAAGAGAGUUAAACAGUACGUGAAAUUGUUGAAAGGGAAGCGCUUGCAACCAGACUUGCACUUGGUCGAUCAUCCUCUGUUCUCAGUGGUGCACUCGAUCUCGUUCAGGCCAGCAUCGGUUUUGGUGGUUAGAUAAAGGCCUUAGGAAUGUAGCUUCCCUCGGGGAGUGUUAUAGCCUAGGGUGCAAUGUAGCCUACCGGGACCGAGGACCGCGCUUCGGCUAGGAUGCUGGCGUAAUGGUUGUAAGCGACCCGUCUUGAAACACGGACCAAGGAGUCUAACAUCUAUGCGAGUGUUUGGGUGUUAAACCCAUACGCGUAAUGAAAGUGAACGUAGGUGUGAACCCUUAAGGGUGCAACAUCGACCGAUCUUGAUGUCUUCGGAUGGAUUUGAGUAAGAGCAUAGCUGUUGGGACCCGAAAGAUGGUGAACUAUGCCUGAAUAGGGUGAAGCCAGAGGAAACUCUGGUGGAGGCUCGCAGCGGUUCUGACGUGCAAAUCGAUCGUCAAAUUUGGGUAUAGGGGCGAAAGACUAAUCGAACCAUCUAGUAGCUGGUUCCUGCCGAAGU